UCCGUGUUAACCACGGCAGUCUCGCCAGACACAUGUAACUGGCAAUAGGGGUUGCGCUCGUUAUCCGACUUAACGGUACAUUUCACAACACGAGCUGACGACAACCGUGCAGCACCUGUCUCCAGUGUCCGAAGAGGGGCUCCAUUUCUGGUGCCUUUCACUGGGAUGUCAAACCUUGGUGAGGUGCUCCGCUUACCAUCGAAUUAAACCACAUGCUCCACCGCUUGUGCGGGUCCCCGUCAAUUCCUUUGAGUUUUAGUCUUGCGACCGUACUCCCCAGGCGGGGUGCUUAACGUGUUAACUUCGGCACUAGGGGGGUCGAUGCCACUAAUGCCUAGCACCCAUCGUUUAGGGCGUGGACUAC
RNAcentral lists this unclassified non-coding RNA (364 nucleotides) under uncultured bacterium. RNAcentral describes it as "contains 16S-23S intergenic spacer region". The record is from RNAcentral.